RNAcentral lists this long non-coding RNA (520 nucleotides) under Phoenix dactylifera (date palm). Its description in RNAcentral is "long non-coding RNA (PDAC_LNC020196)". The record is from RNAcentral. Lineage: Eukaryota; Viridiplantae; Streptophyta; Magnoliopsida; Arecales; Arecaceae.
CCCUCUCCCCCGCCGCCGUAGGGCCGCACCCCCUCCGGCGCCGUCGGCCACCGAGACUGCCGCCGGCCACGGCCCGGCCCCCUCCCGCGGCCGCCGUGGCCUGGCCCCCUUCCGGUGCUGCCGGGUGCGCGGGAGGAGAAGAACGGAGAAGGGGGCAGAGGAAGGAAGGAGAAGAAGAGAAGAAAAAAAGAAAAGGAAAAAAAAGAAGAAAAGGAAAUAAAAUAAAAGAAAAGAAAAGAAAAGAAAAGAAUAAAUAAAUAAAUAAAUAAAUGCAUAAAUAAAUAUUUAUAUAAAUGAAUGAAUGAAUGAAUAAAUAAAUAAGAUAAUAAAUAAAUAUAUUUCAAUGGAUAAAAUAAUAAAUAAAUAAAUGCAUAAAUAAAAAUAUAUAUACGAAUGAACGUAUAAAUAAAUAAAUAUAAAGAAAAAUAAUGAGUGAGUGGCAAAUAAUCUGAUCCUUAUGAUAUUGAUAAGUACGGUGAAUUUGUCGCCAUUGCAAAUAGUUAAGUAAAAAGAUAAUCUA